Lotus japonicus is the source of this 1883-nucleotide long non-coding RNA. RefSeq lists it as uncharacterized. The record is from RefSeq and is a predicted model, not a curated record. The transcript has 2 exons. NCBI's taxonomy places the organism in Eukaryota, Viridiplantae, Streptophyta, Magnoliopsida, Fabales, Fabaceae.
CAGUCCAUUGCCAAAAACUCGCAAGAACCCCAGGUGAUGCCAAUAGAAAUUCAUCACAAAAGCCAAUAAAAAUAUGAUGCCAAACCAGAUUUUUACCAAAAUAUUCCUCACCAAACCAGAAAACUCAACCGAAUAAUACAAUUCAUCCUCUCUCAUUUUUGCCCAGAUCCAUUUUUUUCUGGCCCAACAAGCCCAAAGAAUUUUUUCCCAGAUUCCAUGCCCCUUGGCUCCACCCAUGGCCUUAGGUCAGCAUCAUCAUGAAUGUGGUGACCCGUGACCCCAUACAGCUCUGAGAGAGGCAUGGAGCAAUCACAAUCUUGAAUCCCUGGAAUUUUCUUCUUUUGUGUUCAUCUUCUACUUCAACGGUUGGAUUUUGUGAUGCUCCAAUUUGUUCAGAGGCCUAACAGAGGAAACUGAUGUGGAAACCAAGUAAUGUCACAGGAGGAAAACUGAUGUUAUACAUGUGGAAACCAAAUAAUGUCACGGUUCUAGCUGCUAGUUUGAAGAGAAAGAGAACACCAAGGCAAAUAGGAGGAAGAAGAUGAUCCCUGUUCGCUGUUUCACCUGUGGGAAGGUGGUUGGAAACAAGUGGGAGCCCUAUCAGCAGAGUCUGAAGAAUGGUUGCUCUGUAAAGUCAGUAUUUUCCAAUUUAUAAGAUUUUCCAACCGUUCUAUUGGCAAAUACCUCCUUUGAUUCAAGUCUAUCUCCAAUUGUGCCAUCGGUGUUCCUAUUUAUGGCAAAGAGCAAAUUGAUAUUGUUCUGGAUGGUUUACCUAGUGAAAAUGAGGCUUAGUUAAUCUUGUUCACAUGAACAAUAAAUUUUCUCCUCUCUUUAAUGAGGAGAUUGAGUCACUAUUACUUGCUCAAGAACUGCGAAUUGAGAGAACAAGAAACAUGCAUCGGAGUUCUCUGUUAAUCUAACUCAGGCUUUUCCUCCGGCAUCACAAGCAAGAACCUGUUACUUCGAUACUUUUACUGAUUAGCACGGAGGCCGAGGUCGUGGUGGACAUAGCACGGUUGAGUGUCAAGUGUGCUUAAAAAUUGGACGUUCUGCUUUAGUUUGUGCUACCAUUGGUUCAAUCAAUUUUACACUCCUCCACAGUCUCAUUCCCCUCAGCCAUGGAAUGGAAUCAGACGCCGUAUUCUUGGCAAUAGAAUCAACCAAUGUUCUCUGCUUCUUCCAGGCCACCUCCUCAAGCACAAGCUAUGGUUGCUGGCUCUACUCCAGUCUGGUCCUUUAGAAUCUGCGGCAUCCUUCACUAUGGUCUUCUUCUUCCGCCUGUGGCUUCCUUCCCUCUAAAUAUUCGUGGCUUUUGUGAUGCUGACUGGGCCACAGAUCCUAAUGAUCGCAGCUCUACUAGCGGUGCUUGAAUUUUUCUUAGCCUAAACUUGAUCUCAUGAUGGUCUAGAAAGCAAGCUGCUGUUACCCAUAGUAAUACAGAGGCCGAAUAUAGAAGCGUAGCACAGAUAAUUGAUGAUGUCUUGUGGAUCCAGUCUCUCCUGCAAGAACUCCAUGUUAAAUAUGCCCAGCCUUCUCUGUUUUGUGACAACCUAAGCCCAGCCUCUCCUCACAAUCUAGAGCUUUAUUCCAAAACUAAACACAUGGAGAUGGAUCUCUUUUUUGUACGGGAAAAGGCGCUUCAACAUCAGCUUACUGUUCAUCAUAUCCCUGCUGACCUUUAACUUGUGGAUGCUUUGAUAAAGCCCUUAUCUUCAUCCAUAUUUCAAGAGUUACGCAGCAAGCUCACCGUCACACCUGGAUGAGUUUGAGGGGGGACUGUUGGAGUAUGUACAAGUGUAGGCUCACUUACACUGUAUCAUUGUUUCUACGGUUACUAACUAAUUUUUUCACUUUUUCUUUAUAAAAUUGGAGUGUUAGGAUGG